UCAUGCCGGAGAGACCAACAGGGAUUGCCUCAGUAACGGCGAGUGAAGCGGCAACAGCUCAAAUUUGAAAUCUGGCCCUCGGGUCCGAGUUGUAAUUUGUAGAGGAUGCUUUUGGCGCGGUGCCUUCCGAGUUCCCUGGAACGGGACGCCUUAGAGGGUGAGAGCCCCGUACGGUUGGACACCAAGCCUCUGUAAAGCUCCUUCGACGAGUCGAGUAGUUUGGGAAUGCUGCUCUAAAUGGGAGGUAAAUUUCUUCUAAAGCUAAAUAUUGGCCAGAGACCGAUAGCGCACAAGUAGAGUGAUCGAAAGAUGAAAAGCACUUUGAAAAGAGGGUUAAAUAGCACGUGAAAUUGUUGAAAGGGAAGCGUUUGCGACCAGACCUUUUCCUGGCGGAUCAUCCGGUGUUCUCACCGGUGCACUUCGCCAGGUCGAGGCCAGCAUCGGUUUCCGCGGGGGGAUAAAAGCUCUGGGAACGUAGCUCCUCCGGGAGUGUUAUAGCCCUCUGCACAAUACCCCCGCGGGGACCGAGGACCGCGCUCUAAGCAAGGAUGCUGGCGUAAUGGUUGUCAACGACCCGUCUUGAAACACGGACCAAGGAGUCGAACAUUUGUGCGAGUGUUUGGGUGUCAAACCCUCACGCGUAAUGAAGGUGAACGUAGGUGAGAGCCCUUACGGGUGCAUCAUCGACCGAUCCUGAUGUCUUCGGAUGGAUUUGAGUAAGAGCAUAACUGUUCGGACCCGAAAGAUGGUGAACUAUGCGUGGAUAGGGUGAAGCCAGAGGAAACUCUGGUGGAGGCUCGCAGCGGUUCUGACGUGCAAAUCGAUCGUCAAAUCUGCGCAUGGGGGCGAAAGACUUAUCGAACCAUCUAGUAGCUGGUUACCGCCGAAGUUUCCCUCAGAUAGCAGUGUUGUUCUUCAGUUUUAUGAGUAAAGCGAAUGAUUAGGGACUCGGGGGCGCUUUUUUGCCUUCAUCCAUUCUCAAACUUUAAAUAUGUAAGAAGCCCUUGUUAC
Molecule: ribosomal RNA, 1011 nt
Filed under: Rosellinia necatrix
Lineage: Eukaryota; Fungi; Ascomycota; Sordariomycetes; Xylariales; Xylariaceae
Description: partial large subunit ribosomal RNA
Rfam family: Eukaryotic large subunit ribosomal RNA
Source: RNAcentral